This 537-nucleotide ribosomal RNA is filed under the name uncultured archaeon. RNAcentral describes it as "bacterial SSU rRNA". It matches the Rfam family "Archaeal small subunit ribosomal RNA", at positions 460 to 997 of the family's 1478-position model. The record is from RNAcentral.
AGCAGCCGCGGGAACACCGGCGGCCCGAGUGGUGAUCGUGAUUAUGGGUCUAAAGGGUCCGUAGCCGGUUGGUCAGUCCUCCGGGAAAUCUGAUAGCUCAACUAUUAGGCUUUCGGGGGAUACUGCCAGACUUGGAACCGGGAGAGGUAAGAGGUACUACAGGGGUAGGAGUGAAAUCUUGUAAUCCCUGUGGGACCACCUGUGGCGAAGGCGUCUUACCAGAACGGGUUCGACGGUGAGGGACGAAAGCUGGGGGCACGAACCGGAUUAGAUACCCGGGUAGUCCCAGCCGUAAACGAUGCUCGCUAGGUGUCAGGCAUGGCGCGACCGUGUCUGGUGCCGCAGGGAAGCCGUGAAGCGAGCCACCUGGGAAGUACGGCCGCAAGGCUGAAACUUAAAGGAAUUGGCGGGGGAGCACAACAACGGGUGGAGCCCUGCGGUUUAAUUGGACUCAACGCCGGACAACUCACCGGGGGCGACAGCAAUAUGUAGGCCAAGCUGAAGACUUUGCCUGAAUCGCUGAGAAGAGGUGCAUGG